UACGAAGGGGCUAGCGUUGCUCGGAAUCACUGGGCGUAAAGCGCACGUAGGCGGAUUGUUAAGUCAGGGGUGAAAUCCUGGAGCUCAACUCCAGAACUGCCUUUGAUACUGAGGAUCUUGAGUUCGGGAGAGGUGAGUGGAACUGCGAGUGUAGAGGUGAAAUUCGUAGAUAUUCGCAAGAACACCAGUGGCGAAGGCGGCUCACUGGCCCGAGUACUGACGCUGAGGCACGAAAGCGU
Molecule: ribosomal RNA, 239 nt
Filed under: uncultured bacterium
Lineage: Bacteria
Description: partial 16S ribosomal RNA
Rfam family: Bacterial small subunit ribosomal RNA
Source: RNAcentral